Dromaius novaehollandiae (emu) is the source of this 2140-nucleotide long non-coding RNA. RefSeq lists it as uncharacterized. The record is from RefSeq and is a predicted model, not a curated record. The transcript has 2 exons. NCBI's taxonomy places the organism in Eukaryota, Metazoa, Chordata, Aves, Casuariiformes, Dromaiidae.
GCCGCCCCCGCCUCUCGGGGCGGGGCCUGCGCGCUCGCCGCCCAUUGGCCAGGCCGCGGCGCGUGACGACGGAGCCAUGGCGGGGGCCGGCGCGGCCUCAGCGCGCCGCGUGACGGGCGUGCUCGGCGGGCGAGGGGCGCGCGCGGCGGCGGCGUUGGCGUGACCGCGACGCCUGGCAUGGGGCCCGAACGCAGCGCGAGGGCAGCGGAGCGAGCCCCAAGGAGGCCGCGUCUGCCCAGCCUCGUGGGCUGUGCGCAGGGGCUGAGGCAGUGAUCCCUCGAGCACAGCUACGCAGUUGAAUGAAGUCAUUCUGCAGCCGAAAUCCAGUCUGGAGACUAUCAGCUUCUGGCCUACAACAUACUUGUGUUUAGACUUCAACUGCUGUUCAGUUUUCCUGCAGCUGGCAGCUCCUAUUGUUGAUGAAGGCUCUGUGAAAUCGUUAAGGAAAAGCUGAUGAAUGUGUUCGUAUUUGCUAAAAUAGAUUAACAGAGAGGAUAUGCAAAGUCAUAAACACUCUUAUCUGAAUUCUGUGCCUUUGAUUCAUCUUGAAUUCCAAAGUGAUUGAGCAGAGUUGGGCUGUCUUCCGUGCGUGCUGUGUAAAUCUUGUCCCCCUCUGAACCACAGGCAGGAUACUGCAAUCCCAAAGGCCAGAAUUAUUUUGCUAAUACUUGAAUUGCCCAUUGGAAAAUCACAUCAGAUUCUCCUUCUGAAAUGGACUUUAAAACAGGAUGGCUGCUUUUCCAGUGUCUCGGAUAAUAAGAAUUGGCGCUAAAGAUCCAACAUUUGAAGGAAUUCAGUCUGUGCAGAACCUGAGGUGCCAUCAAUAGCAGUUUCCUAUGCUCCUGUUCAGUGAGUGGUUCUUUGCAGCCAUCCUACAUGAGCAGAUAGAAUGUGUCUAGCUUGUUCUGUUACUUUGUCUCUUGCACAGAUGUGGUAUAAAACGAAAUAUCAUAGGCGAUAGAAUCACUCUGGAGAGGCUCUUGUUGCGGUGGAGGACAACGGAGUUUGCUAUAGUGCAUAUAACCAUCAUGAUAAGUGACUUACAGAAUGGUGAACUUGUCCAGCCUGUAUGUUUAUGGUGCCUGAGGCAACCCUUGCUGCUCUUCUUUAACCUGUGGCUGAGUUUCUUACAUAGAGCUGGGUUUGGACAUCUUGAUCUAUAUAGUAUGCAACUCCCUCAAUAAAGCAUAAGGUAUGCUUCUUUAAAUAGAGCCUGCCUGUCGUACUUGCUCGUAGAAGGGAGCUGCAUUAUUCAUCAAAUCAUUCUGCCUUUUCCAGAGCAUGACUUGAAUCUCAGCAUCUGUUCAAAUACAAGCCAUGAAGUCAAGAAUUUAGGAAGAGCAAGUGUUUUUCCCCUUAGUUCUUUAUAGCAAGGAAUUCUACCAUAUGUGGCCUGAGGUAGACCUGUUCAUUUUAUUCAUAGGUGUGUUUACCCAGCUGUUCCAUCAUUCACAUCAGGUAGCAGAGCAAUUUGUUGACUAAUUCAAAUGAAAGAUGGUGUGAAACCUCCCUUCGUGGCAGCAUUGUCUUUUUCUCCUGUGUUGAGAGAUCUAGUCUCUGUGUGUCUUUUCCCUGGAACAGUCUGACUUAGUGAGCAGUCAGUGAACCAGUCCAUAUGAGACAUGCUGACCAAAAUAUUCAAACAUGAGUACCUCACUAUGUGUCAAAGCACUCAAAGAAAAAUCCAAAGCCCUUUUCCAUAGUGCCAAAUGUCAGCCUCUUGCUUAUCUCCUGGAAAAGUCACACCACUGAUUUAAAUGUGUGAUUUUGUUCACCUAGUUUGGAAAAUACCAGUUUAGGUAUUAUUGUCAGUGAGACACUGGCUAUCAGAAAUGAGUUUGUAAAUAGAGAUAGUUGGCAGAAGAAUGGAAAGGGGAGGAAUAGACAAGAGCAGGAGACAUCCUGAAGUGAGAAAUAGGAAGCAUUCAGCAGAACUGUCAGACCGUGAGGACCCUCCAGUACAAUACCUGUCAGGCUCCCCCAUCCUGAGUUUGAGGCUUCCCUCUUUCCAAGUUGUGAUCACUGGAAAUACUCAGUGGCCUUUACCAAAAUGAAAAGGUACAUGAGCUUCUUAACAAAGCGACUAAUUAGUGGAAUUUCUUUUGUUCAUGAGUAAAUAAAGGUAUUUUUCGCUAUCUCA